UACGUAGGGUGCGAGCGUUAAUCGGAAUUACUGGGCGUAAAGCGUGCGCAGGCGGUUUUGUAAGCCAGAUGUGAAAUCCCCGGGCUUAACCUGGGAAUGGCAUUUGGGACUGCAAGGCUUGAGUGCGGCAGAGGAGACUGGAAUUCCCGGUGUAGCAGUGAAAUGCGUAGAUAUUGGGAGGAACACCGGUGGCGAAGGCGGCCACCUGGCCCGGCACUGACGCUGAGGCGCGAAAGCGUGGGGAGCAAACAGG
RNAcentral lists this ribosomal RNA (253 nucleotides) under uncultured bacterium. Its description in RNAcentral is "partial 16S ribosomal RNA". It matches the Rfam family "Bacterial small subunit ribosomal RNA", at positions 524 to 776 of the family's 1533-position model. The record is from RNAcentral.